CAGCCGCCACGGUAAUACGAAGGGUGCAAGCGUUACUCAGAAUUACUGGGCGUAAAGCGUGCGUAGGUGGUGGUUUAAGUCCGUUGUGAAAGCCCUGGGCUCAACCUGGGAAUUGCAGUGGAUACUGGAUCACUAGAGUGUGGUAGAGGAUAGUGGAAUUUCCGGUGUAGCAGUGAAAUGCGUAGAGAUCGGAAGGAACAUCUGUGGCGAAGGCGACUAUCUGGGCCAACACUGACACUGAGGCACGAAAGCGUGGGGAGCAAACAGGAUUAGAUACCCCCGUAGUCCCUGUCUCUUAUAC
RNAcentral lists this ribosomal RNA (301 nucleotides) under uncultured bacterium. RNAcentral's name for it is "partial 16S ribosomal RNA". It matches the Rfam family "Bacterial small subunit ribosomal RNA", at positions 509 to 807 of the family's 1533-position model. The record is from RNAcentral.